RNAcentral lists this ribosomal RNA (468 nucleotides) under uncultured bacterium. RNAcentral's name for it is "partial 16S ribosomal RNA". It matches the Rfam family "Bacterial small subunit ribosomal RNA", at positions 28 to 507 of the family's 1533-position model. The record is from RNAcentral.
GACGAAUGCUGGCGGCGCGCCUAACACAUGCAAGUCGAACGGAGCUGAGAGAAGCUUGCUUUUCUUAGCUUAGUGGCGAACGGGUGAGUAACGCGUGAGUAACCUGCCCUGGAGUGGGGGACAACAGUUGGAAACGACUGCUAAUACCGCAUAAGCCCACGAUCCGGCAUCGGAUUGAGGGAAAAGGAUUUAUUCGCUUCAGGAUGGACUCGCGUCCAAUUAGCUAGUUGGUGAGGUAACGGCCCACCAAGGCGACGAUUGGUAGCCGGACUGAGAGGUUGAACGGCCACAUUGGGACUGAGACACGGCCCAGACUCCUACGGGAAGCAGCAGUGGGGGAUAUUGCACAAUGGGGGAAACCCUGAUGCAGCGACGCCGCGUGGAGGAAGAAGGUUUUCGGAUUGUAAACUCCUGUCGUUAGGGACGAUAAUGACGGUACCUAACAAGAAAGCACCGGCUAACUACGUG